UCGUGAUAGUUUUAUUUUUACUUGCAAAAAUAUUAAUAAUUUAUUCAUUAUAAUCAAAAUCCAUUAAAAGAAAAUCACAAUUUUUGAAAAAAAUAUCUUCUCCUCCUUCACAAAAUAGGCACAAUGUUUGAAAAUAGUUCAACGUAAUAGAAAAACAAUAAUUCAAUGAAACAACACACCAAAAAGCGAAUCAAAACUAAACUAAAAUGUUCAAAAUAAGAAUCAAAACAACCAUUGAAACAGCAUAAAAGAAGAAUACAUAAGAGAAAAACUUGGUAAGGAUGAACAGAAAUGAACCAGAACUAAGCGAUUGAGAAAGAACGAAGGAGGCGCUAGGUUGCCGGAGGGUGGAACGUCGGUGGUCUUGGGUGAUGGCAAAGUCAGGAUGGAUUUGGAGCUUUGAGUGAAAGAGUUAGAUUGAAUAGUAAGAGACAACAGAAGUGAGUUUAGAAACAGAAACAACAAACAACAACAAAAAAACAACGAGGUCCAAGCGGUAGAUGAUGGGCCUCUUCAAAUGGAAAUGUAUUGGCCUCCAUGAGUUUUCUACUUGCCGCUCC
RNAcentral lists this long non-coding RNA (560 nucleotides) under Cicer arietinum (chickpea). RNAcentral's name for it is "long non-coding RNA (CARI_LNC003786)". The record is from RNAcentral. Lineage: Eukaryota; Viridiplantae; Streptophyta; Magnoliopsida; Fabales; Fabaceae.